RNAcentral lists this ribosomal RNA (499 nucleotides) under uncultured Actinomycetes bacterium. RNAcentral's name for it is "bacterial SSU rRNA". It matches the Rfam family "Bacterial small subunit ribosomal RNA", at positions 8 to 522 of the family's 1533-position model. The record is from RNAcentral. Lineage: Bacteria; Bacillati; Actinomycetota; Actinomycetes.
AGAGUUUGAUCAUGGCUCAGGACGAACGCUGGCGGCGUGCUUAACACAUGCAAGUCGAGCGGUAAGGCCCCUUCGGGGGUACACGAGCGGCGAACGGGUGAGUAACACGUGAGCAACCUACCCUCAACUUUGGGAUAAGCCUCGGAAACGGGGUCUAAUACCGGAUAUGACUCUUUGCUUCAUGGCGGAGGGUUGAAAGUUCUGGCGGUUGGGGAUGGGCUCGCGGCCUAUCAGCUUGUUGGUGGGGUAAUGGCCUACCAAGGCUUCGACGGGUAGCCGGCCUGAGAGGGCGACCGGCCACACUGGGACUGAGACACGGCCCAGACUCCUACGGGAGGCAGCAGUGGGGAAUAUUGCGCAAUGGACGAAAGUCUGACGCAGCAACGCCGCGUGAGGGAUGACGGCCUUCGGGUUGUAAACCUCUUUCAGCAGGGACGAAGCGAGAGUGACGGUACCUGCAGAAGAAGGACCGGCCAACUACGUGCCAGCAGCCGCGGUA